AGGAAAAGAAACCAACAGGGAUUGCCCUAGUAACGGCGAGUGAAGCGGCAACAGCUCAAAUUUGAAAUCUGGCGCAAGCCCGAGUUGUAAUUUGUAGAGGAUGCUUCUAGGUAGCGACCGGUCUAAGUUCCUUGGAACAGGACGUCAUAGAGGGUGAGAAUCCCGUAUGUGACCGGCCCGCACCUUCUACGUAGCUCCUUCGACGAGUCGAGUUGUUUGGGAAUGCAGCUCUAAAUGGGAGGUAAAUUUCUUCUAAAGCUAAAUACCGGCCAGAGACCGAUAGCGCACAAGUAGAGUGAUCGAAAGAUGAAAAGCACUUUGGAAAGAGAGUUAAAAAGCACGUGAAAUUGUUGAAAGGGAAGCGCUCACAACCAGACUUCUGGGCGGUGUUCCGCCGGUCUUCUGACCGGUCUACUCACCGUCCCGAGGCCAACAUCAUCUGGGACCGCCGGAUAAGACCUCAGGAAUGUAGCUCCCCUCGGGGAGUGUUAUAGCCUGUGGUGAUGCGGCGCGUCUCGGGUGAGGUCCGCGCUUCGGCAAGGAUGUUGGCGUAAUGGUUGUCAGCGGCCCGUCUUGAAACACGGACCAAGGAGUCUAACAUCUAUGCGAGUGUUCGGGUGUCAAACCCCUACGCGUAAUGAAAGUGAACGGAGGUGGGAAGGGUAACCUGCACCAUCGACCGAUCCUGAUGUCCUCGGAUGGAUUUGAGUAAGAGCAUAGCUGUUGGGACCCGAAAGAUGGUGAACUAUGCCUGAAUAGGGUGAAGCCAGAGGAAACUCUGGUGGAGGCUCGCAGCGGUUCUGACGUGCAAAUCGAUCGUCAAAUUUGGGUAUAGGGGCGAAAGACUAAUCGAACCAUCUAGUAGCU
This 867-nucleotide ribosomal RNA is filed under the name Ramularia haroldporteri. Its description in RNAcentral is "eukaryotic LSU rRNA". It matches the Rfam family "Eukaryotic large subunit ribosomal RNA", at positions 54 to 952 of the family's 3401-position model. The record is from RNAcentral. Lineage: Eukaryota; Fungi; Ascomycota; Dothideomycetes; Mycosphaerellales; Mycosphaerellaceae.